This is a non-coding RNA of Stegodyphus mimosarum, 73 nucleotides long. The record is from Rfam. NCBI's taxonomy places the organism in Eukaryota, Metazoa, Arthropoda, Arachnida, Araneae, Eresidae.
GCCUUCAUGGUGUAGCGGUCAGCACACUCGACAUGUAUUCUAGAGAUCCGUGGUUCGAGUCCCGGCGAGGGCA